CGGAAUUUGUAGACAUCCUGGCAGCUUACAAUUAGUUCGAGGUGAGAAGGUAUCUAGCCAGUCCACAAUGAAAGCUUCGUUGCACCCCAUGAGUCUUCUGGCAGAAAUGAUGGCGCCUGUAUUCUUUGGUUUCCCUAAACAUCACACCCUGCCUGUUUAUACGAGGCUCUUCAAUUAAGUCUGCACCCAAAGAUUCAAUAAGAGAGGGGAUCCUGCCAGUCCAAAGUGAACUCCUGAUGGACACUGAAGUACUCCUGCAGAGCUUGUAUCUUCGACACCAUGCGCAUUAGAAACUCCACUGAGUCCUUUCCUUCACCAAGGCAGGACCCAGUGACUCAUUACUGUUGAUAGGUCAGGGGCAGUGUAGGUACCACACCCGCUUUCACACCUUGGCUCAUGUGAUUAGAGGAUCACCAGGGGGUCCUUUGUCCCUCUUUGGGGGGAUACUCCCACUGGGUUUAAAUCUGGGACUCUCGGCCAUUUGACCUUAGAACUGAAGAAGCUUCUCGGAUGAGAGGUGAAACGUCUUCAAGCAACUCAAAGAAGUCCAGACGCUUUUCUUUGCAAAUUCCUUUGAC
Long non-coding RNA from Oreochromis aureus, 578 nucleotides. NCBI's taxonomy places the organism in Eukaryota, Metazoa, Chordata, Actinopteri, Cichliformes, Cichlidae. The record is from Ensembl.